UACGUAGGGCGCAAGCGUUGUCCGGAAUUAUUGGGCGUAAAGAGCUCGUAGGCGGCUUGUCGCGUCGACCGUGAAAACUUGGGGCUCAACCCCAAGCCUGCGGUCGAUACGGGCAGGCUCGAGUUCGGUAGGGGAGACUGGAAUUCCUGGUGUAGCGGUGAAAUGCGCAGAUAUCAGGAGGAACACCGAUGGCGAAGGCAGGUCUCUGGGCCGAUACUGACGCUGAGGAGCGAAAGACGUGGGGAGCGAACAGG
Molecule: ribosomal RNA, 254 nt
Filed under: uncultured bacterium
Lineage: Bacteria
Description: partial 16S ribosomal RNA
Rfam family: Bacterial small subunit ribosomal RNA
Source: RNAcentral